UGGCAACUGAAAGUUUCAGUGUGAAAAUUGUUAACUAAUCUAACCUCAAUAUAUAUGCACAUUGAAGGACAAAUAUAAUUACCGACUGUACAAUAGGACCUGAUAAGGAAACAUCAAAGGAUAUGAUCUAUUACAUACAUCUAUGAUAUUCUGUAUGUCAUCUUGGUCUGACACCCACAAUACAUGCCAGUCUUAAGUUUACACAUGUUAUGUCUAUAACACAAUUGUUUAGGUUCAAUUUUUCAAAUUCAUAACAUUCUACUAUAAAAAGUCACAUUCAUUUUAGUAUCUACAUUAGUCAUCUUCAAUGUAAUAGCUACAUGGGUCCUGAGGUCUUAUAAAUUCUAUACUUCGAUAAAUGUUAGAUAUUAAUAAUCAUACCAUUAGCAGUGGCGGAUCCAGGAGGAGGGUUCCGGAGGUUGGAUGAUCAAUGCAUUUGAAUGGGGACAUAUAGUUGGAACCUCCCUUUGUCCUGGGUUAGGAACCCCCUCCCCCCUUUUUAAAAUGGCUGCAUAGGCCCCUGAUUAGGGUUGUUAGUAAAAUAAGGCCACAAGACUUGCAAACCCAGAGAACUAUAAAAGCAGUUGAAGAAUUAUGGAGAGGAUCAGUCUUUCAAAGUUGUUCUAAAAUCAGGCA
This 636-nucleotide long non-coding RNA is filed under the name Mytilus galloprovincialis (Mediterranean mussel). Lineage: Eukaryota; Metazoa; Mollusca; Bivalvia; Mytilida; Mytilidae. The record is from RNAcentral.